CCUACGGGAGGCAGCAGUAGGGAAUAUUGCUCAAUGGGGGAAACCCUGAAGCAGCAACGCCGCGUGGAGGAUGAAGGUUUUCGGAUUGUAAACUCCUUUUGUUAAAGAAGAUAAUGACGGUAUCUAACGAAUAAGCACCGGCUAACUCCGUGCCAGCAGCCGCGGUAAUACGGAGGGUGCAAGCGUUACUCGGAAUCACUGGGCGUAAAGAGCGCGUAGGCGGGAUAGCAAGUCAGAUGUGAAAUCCUAUGGCUUAACCAUAGAACUGCAUUUGAAACUGUUAUUCUAGAGUAUGGGAGAGGUAGGUGGAAUUCUUGGUGUAGGGGUAAAAUCCGUAGAGAUCAAGAGGAAUACUCAUUGCGAAGGCGACCUGCUAGAACAUAACUGACGUUGAUGCGCGAAAGCGUGGGUAGCAAACAGGAUUAGAUACCCGAGUAGUC
RNAcentral lists this ribosomal RNA (440 nucleotides) under uncultured bacterium. Its description in RNAcentral is "partial 16S ribosomal RNA". It matches the Rfam family "Bacterial small subunit ribosomal RNA", at positions 338 to 795 of the family's 1533-position model. The record is from RNAcentral.